RNAcentral lists this ribosomal RNA (528 nucleotides) under Bifidobacterium longum subsp. infantis. RNAcentral's name for it is "bacterial SSU rRNA". It matches the Rfam family "Bacterial small subunit ribosomal RNA", at positions 157 to 700 of the family's 1533-position model. Lineage: Bacteria; Bacillati; Actinomycetota; Actinomycetes; Bifidobacteriales; Bifidobacteriaceae. The record is from RNAcentral.
CGGGUGGUAAUGCCGGAUGCUCCAGUUGAUCGCAUGGUCUUUUGGGAAAGCUUUCGCGGUAUGGGAUGGGGUCGCGUCCUAUCAGCUUGACGGCGGGGUAACGGCCCACCGUGGCUUCGACGGGUAGCCGGCCUGAGAGGGCGACCGGCCACAUUGGGACUGAGAUACGGCCCAGACUCCUACGGGAGGCAGCAGUGGGGAAUAUUGCACAAUGGGCGCAAGCCUGAUGCAGCGACGCCGCGUGAGGGAUGGAGGCCUUCGGGUUGUAAACCUCUUUUAUCGGGGAGCAAGCGAGAGUGAGUUUACCCGUUGAAUAAGCACCGGCUAACUACGUGCCAGCAGCCGCGGUAAUACGUAGGGUGCAAGCGUUAUCCGGAAUUAUUGGGCGUAAAGGGCUCGUAGGCGGUUCGUCGCGUCCGGUGUGAAAGUCCAUCGCUUAACGGUGGAUCCGCGCCGGGUACGGGCGGGCUUGAGUGCGGUAGGGGAGACUGGAAUUCCCGGUGUAACGGUGGAAUGUGUAGAUAUCGG